CAGCUAGCCAGCCAGUCAAUCAGUCAGCCAGUCAGCCAGUCAGCCAGCCAGUUAGUCAGUCACCCAGUCAGCCAGUCAGCCAGUCAGUCAGUCAGUCAGCCAGUCAGCCAGUCAGCCAGUCAGCCAGUCAGUCAGUCACCCAGUCAGCCAGUCAGUCAGCCAGUCAGCCAGUCAGUCAGUCAGUCAGUCAGCCAGUCAGUCAGCCAGUCAGCCAGUCAGUCAGCCAGUCAGCCAGUCAGCCAGUCAGCCAGUCAGCCAGUCAGCCAGUCAGUCAGUCAGCCAGUCAGCCAGUCAGUCAGCCAGCCAGUCAGCCAGUCAGCCAGUCAGUCAGCCAGUCAGUCAGUCAGCCAGUCAGCCAGUCAGCCAGUCAGUCAGCCAGUCAGCCAGUCAGCCAGUCAGUCAGCCAGUCAGUCAGUCAGCCAGUCAGCCAGUCAGCCAGUCAGUCAGUCAGCCAGUCAGCCAGCCAGUCAGUCAGCCAGUCAGUCAGCCAGUCAGCCAGUCAGUCAGUCAGCCAGUCAGCCAGUCAGUCAGCCAGUCAGUCAGUCAGCCAGUCAGUCAGUCAGCCAGUCAGCCAGUCUACACCAUCCUCUAGGUCCAUUAGAACAGAAUGUGUCCAGUCAGUUAGCGAUGAGGAAACGGACUGGAGAGGACGUUGGAUUUGAAGAGGAAGUUGUAAAUUAGGCUUAAUGCUUUUCUCUGUCUGUCUGCUCUCUGUCUGACUGCUCUGUGGUGGCUGAGGAUUAGUUAUACUGUCACUGGCAGAACACACACACACACACACACACACACACACACACACACACACACACACACACACACACACACACACACACACACCCUCCUCAAACAUCCUCCUCACACACCCUGUUGACACACUGUACAGACGAGCCCCUUUAACUUAUUAAAUUAUUGAUGAUUAUUGAUGAUGCUGUUUUAUUUAUUGAUGUAUUUAUUGAUAAGCUCCUCCUCCGCACGGUGGUCAUGUUGUUGUUUAUCCACCCCCCCCCCCCUCCUCCCAACAACAACAACAACAACAACAGUACUGGCCCCUCCUUACCACAGAACCAUCUCUAUUGCCUUUUCCACAGUCUCCUUAACAUGAGGAUGGAACCAUGAGGAUGGAACCAUGAGGGUAGAACCAUGAGAAUGGAACCAUGGGAAUGGAACCAUGAGGAUGGAACCAUGAGGAUGGAACCAUGGGAAUGGAACCAUGAGGAUGGAACCAUGAGGGUAGAACCAUGAGGAUGGAACCAUGGGAAUGGAACCAUGAGGAUGGAACCAUGAGGAUGGAACCAUGGGAAUGGAACCAUGAGGAUGGAACCAUGAGGGUAGAACCAUGAGAAUGGAACCAUGGGAAUGGAACCAUGAGAAUGGAACCAUGGGAAUGGAACCAUGAGGAUGGAACCAUGAGAGUAGAACCAUGAGAAUGGAACCAUGGGAAUGGAACCAUGAGAAUGGAACCAUGAGAAUGGAACCAUGAGAAUGGAACCAUGAGAAUGGAACCAUGGGAAUGGAACCAUGAGGAUGGAACCAUGAGGGUGGAACCAUGAGAAUGGAACCAUGGGAAUGGAACCAUGGGAAUGGAACCAUGAGAAUGGAACCAUGAGAAUGGAACCAUGGGAAUGGAACCAUGGGAAUGGAACCAUGGGAACGGAACCAUGAGAAUGGAACCAUGGGAACGGAACCAUGAGGAUGGAACCAUGAGGAUGGAACCAUGAGAAUGGAACCAUGAGAGUGGAACCAUGAGGAUGGAACCAUGAGGAUGGAACCAUGAGGGGGAAUGGAACCAUGGGAAUGGAACCAUGAGGAUGGAACCAUGAGGGUAGAACCAUGAGAAUGGAACCAUGGGAAUGGAACCAUGAGGAUGGAACCAUGAGGGUAGAACCAUGAGAAUGGAACCAUGGGAAUGGAACCAUGAGAAUGGAACCAUGAGAAUGGAACCAUGAGAAUGGAACCAUGAGAAUGGAACCAUGAGAAUGGAACCAUGGGAAUGGAACCAUGGGAAUGGAACCAUGAGAAUGGAACCAUGGGAACGGAACCAUGAGAAUGGAACCAUGGGAACGGAACCAUGAGGAUGGAACCAUGAGGAUGGAACCAUGAGAGUGGAACCAUGAGGAUUGAACCAUGAGAAUGGAACCAUGAGAGUGGAACCAUGAGGAUGGAACCAUGAGGGUGGAACCAUGAGAAUGGAACCAUGAGGAUGGAACCAUGAGAAUGGAACCAUGAGAGUGGAACCAUGAGGAUGGAACCAUGAGGGUGGAACCAUGAGAAUGGAACCAUGAGGAUGGAACCAUGAGGAUGGAACCAUGAGGAUGGAACCAUGAGGGUGGAACCAUGAGGAUGGAACCAUGAGAAUGGAACCAUGAGGAUGGAACCAUGAGGGUGGAACCAUGAGGAUGGAACCAUGAGGGUGGUACCAAGGGAAUGGAACCAUGAGGGUGGUACCAUGAGGAUGGAACCAUGAGGGUGGAACCAUGAGGGUAGAACAAUGAGGAUGGAUCCAUGAGGCAGCCUGAGGUUAGAUCUUCAACACUACUGACCAAACACCAUCACUCUGGCCCCAGCAUGUGUGUGUGUGUGUGUGUGUGUGUGUGUGUGUGUGUGUGUGUGUGUGUGUGUGUGUGUGUGUGUGUGUGUGUGUGUGUGUGUGUGUGUGUGUGUGUGUGUGUGUGUGUGUGUGUGUGUGUCUAAGAAACAACUUCCUGCUAUGAAAAAGGGUGAAAGGUCACAAACCCCGGUUUGGGCAGAAUGGAAGUGUUGGGUCCUUCCUGCUAUGAAAAAGGGUGAAAGGUCACAAACCACGGUUUGGGCAGAAUGGAAGUGUUGGGUCCUUCCUGCUAUGAAAAAGGGUGAAAGGUCACGAACCCCGGUUUGGGCAGAAUAGAAGUGUUGGUUCCUAUUAUUUACGUUACCAUGUGGGUCUGUGUUUUUUAUAACUACUAGAACCCGUGGAACCGUCUAGACUUGUUGUUUCCUUGUGGAACAGGAUUAUUGUUGUUAUUGUUGUUAUUGUUGUUGUUGUUGUUGUUAUUGUGCAUCUGAUAAUCUAUUACUCUAAAUGACGACGAGCAAUAAAGUUGAGAUCCUUUUUUAAAAAUAUAUAUAUUGCAUGUUUUACUAAAAAAAAAGGUUGAUCUUAGUCAAUAAAAAUAGUUUUUAAGACA
Oncorhynchus keta (chum salmon) is the source of this 3164-nucleotide long non-coding RNA. RefSeq lists it as uncharacterized. Lineage: Eukaryota; Metazoa; Chordata; Actinopteri; Salmoniformes; Salmonidae. The record is from RefSeq and is a predicted model, not a curated record. The transcript is spliced from 2 exons.